AUUGAACGCUGGCGGCAUGCCUUACACAUGCAAGUCGAACGGCAGCACGGGUGCUUGCACCUGGUGGCGAGUGGCGAACGGGUGAGUAAUACAUCGGAACAUGUCCUGUAGUGGGGGAUAGCCCGGCGAAAGCCGGAUUAGUACCGCAUACGAUCUACGGAUGAAAGCGGGGGACCUUCGGGCCUCGCGCUAUAGGGUUGGCCGAUGGCUGAUUAGCUAGUUGGUGGGGUAAAGGCCUACCAAGGCGACGAUCAGUAGCUGGUCUGAGAGGACGACCAGCCACACUGGGACUGAGACACGGCCCAGACUCCUACGGGAGGCAGCAGUGGGGAAUUUUGGACAAUGGGCGAAAGCCUGAUCCAGCAAUGCCGCGUGUGUGAAGAAGGCCUUCGGGCUGUAAAGCACUUUUGUCCGGAAAGAAAUCCUUGGCCCUAAUACGGUCGGGGGAUGACGGUACCGGAAGAAUAAGCACCGGCUAACUACGUG
This 486-nucleotide ribosomal RNA is filed under the name uncultured bacterium. RNAcentral's name for it is "partial 16S ribosomal RNA". It matches the Rfam family "Bacterial small subunit ribosomal RNA", at positions 30 to 507 of the family's 1533-position model. The record is from RNAcentral.